UUUAAAUUCAAUUUAUAAAGGUUUAUUACUUAUCAAAUUAGCACUAUCUAAUUUGGUAAGUAACAAAAUUAAACAAGGAAACAAAUAUUUGUAUAAGGUUGAUCAAAUUUGGUAAUUAAUUUGUAUUUUUUUUUUCCGAUAUUAUCCUUAUGAAUGGUAACAUGUUGAGCAGGUAACCACUAUACAAAAGUCAAUCUCGCCCUUAAAAUAUUAACGGUUAAAUUUAUUUUACCUGGUGUAUUGAAGCAUUCCUCAAAAAUAAUUCUGAGCAAAAUUGCAUUUU
Molecule: long non-coding RNA, 283 nt
Filed under: Ananas comosus (pineapple)
Lineage: Eukaryota; Viridiplantae; Streptophyta; Magnoliopsida; Poales; Bromeliaceae
Description: long non-coding RNA (ACOM_LNC004659)
Source: RNAcentral